Molecule: ribosomal RNA, 795 nt
Filed under: uncultured bacterium
Lineage: Bacteria
Description: bacterial SSU rRNA
Rfam family: Bacterial small subunit ribosomal RNA
Source: RNAcentral
AGAGUUUGAUCCUGGCUCAGAUUGAACGCUGGCGGCAUGCCUUACACAUGCAAGUCGAACGGUAACAGGUCUUCGGAUGCUGACGAGUGGCGAACGGGUGAGUAAUACAUCGGAACGUGCCCGAGAGUGGGGGAUAACGAGGCGAAAGCUUUGCUAAUACCGCAUACGAUCUCAGGAUGAAAGCAGGGGACCGCAAGGCCUUGCGCUCACGGAGCGGCCGAUGGCAGAUUAGGUAGUUGGUGGGAUAAAAGCUUACCAAGCCGACGAUCUGUAGCUGGUCUGAGAGGACGACCAGCCACACUGGGACUGAGACACGGCCCAGACUCCUACGGGAGGCAGCAGUGGGGAAUUUUGGACAAUGGGCGCAAGCCUGAUCCAGCCAUGCCGCGUGCAGGAUGAAGGCCUUCGGGUUGUAAACUGCUUUUGUACGGAACGAAAAGACUCUUUCUAAUAAAGGGGGUCCAUGACGGUACCGUAAGAAUAAGCACCGGCUAACUACGUGCCAGCAGCCGCGGUAAUACGUAGGGUGCGAGCGUUAAUCGGAAUUACUGGGCGUAAAGCGUGCGCAGGCGGUUAUAUAAGACAGAUGUGAAAUCCCCGGGCUCAACCUGGGAACUGCAUUUGUGACUGUAUAGCUAGAGUACGGUAGAGGGGGAUGGAAUUCCGCGUGUAGCAGUGAAAUGCGUAGAUAUGCGGAGGAACACCGAUGGCGAAGGCAAUCCCCUGGACCUGUACUGACGCUCAUGCACGNNNGCGUNNNGAGCAAACAGGAUUAGAUACCCUGGUAGUCCACGC